GAAGACCAAACGGGAUGGUGAGGCUAACGGGGCUCAGUCUUUCACUCGCUCAUUCUGCUGCGGCAGCUACUGCAGUAACUCGCCCCACUUUCAGAGGCCACCGGCUGUAGCUUUUCUCUUUCCAUCAUUGCUUUGAAACGGGUUUCCCUGAUGCCCUUCCUUCCUCUGUGAUAUAAGAAACAACUGGGAAGGUAGGUGUGCCCUUUUCAACAAAGACGCUGGCAAUAAGAGAAAAUCAUUGAACAGAAACAACGCGUGCAAAACAGACAGGCAGAACCUCGUCCAGACCUUCGCCAAAAAUUCUUGCUGAAUCCAUUCAAUGCAAAGGAAGUCACAGAGGCACACAUCAACAUAAUGUAGAAAUUCCUUACAGACUGAGAGAGUGACAUGUGAUACGUUUAAGUUUUGAAUGGGAUGUGAUUUUCCAAUGGCACCUGGAAAACAGAAAUGAUCCUAAGAGAAUAUCUACUGAGGGAUGGAUGUCCCACUGAAAAAAGGAAUACAAAUUGAUCAUGUCAUGAGAAAUAUUUUACGAUCUUCUUUGAUACAGACAAUUGCAGGAAGACUUUGCCAAUGUGUGAAUCUCAUCAGUAGAGACCUGGGAAACAUCACCGGCAUGCGCUCCUCCUCAGAAACACCGCGCAUGUGCGUAUUUGGUGAGAAUGGUAGAAUAGGGUAGCUAGGCACCCUGGGAAGGUUAUUAUCAUUUAUGAAUGGGAUGGCCUUUGAUUUCAAGAAAUGAAAUAGAAAUUACAAAUGGUAAUGGAUUUUUAUAGCCUUUUAAUAAGAUGCUUUUACAAGACUGGUAAUUGUGCUUCUCUAUUUGCUUUCAACGGCCACCCUUUGAGAUCGAAUUCAAAUGACCUCUUGGCUGAUUGGGCAGAAGAUUCGUCAGUUAUGUUCCCUCUGACAGUCGAGAACAACUGUUCCAUUGACAAUGGGCUUGGUUGGACCACCCACAUCAGCACAGAGGAUGCGAUGUCACUCAACUUCUGCCUCCUUCACUGAGACAUUCUCCAUUGAAGCCUGAGUCACUGUGCAAAAGCUUGACUUCCCAGGGGUUACAAAGAUAUAAGGAAGACCUUGUCACAUGACGAAGACAGGACCAGGCACUGCAAUUGAUGGUCUUAGCUAUUCGUGGAGUUUGGAAUAUUCUAGCCCAGGAAUCAAGCAUGUGAGUGGAAAAAAAUGUAGUAAUAGAUUUGAAGGGAAACUGAGCAAGUAUCAGUGAACAGUAUAUUGGUAAUUAGUGAAGCUGAGUGAUCUUGAUAUUUCAAUCUGCCUGUGUGUCUUUCUGUCUGGGGAUCUUUCUGUUUGCCUCCGUCUUUCUGUCUCUUUUCUUGUCUCCUCCCCAACCCCUCUCUCCUCCUUUCCCUUUUCUUUGUCCUCCUCCUCCUCUUCUUCAUUCUCCUCCUCCUCCUCUUCCUCAUUCUCCUCCUCCUCUUCCUCAUUCUCCUCCUCCUCCUCAUUCUCCUCCUCCUUCUUCUUCUCCUUCUCCUCCUUCUCCUCCUCCCUGUCAUUUGAGACAGGGUCUCAUUAUGUAGUCCAGGCUGAAAUCUUCAAUCUUCCUGCCUCAGCCUCUAGAGAGUUGAGAGUGAGCCAACAUACUCCAGUUAGCCUGCUCUUUUAAAUCCUCUGGUUUGUGCAUUGCUGUCUUGCACUCUCUCAGUCAGUUCAAGAUGUUGUAACAAAAUACUAUAGACCAGAAUGCUUAAAUGUCAGAAAUGUAUUCACAGUCUUGAAGCCUAGACAUCCAAAUUUGAGAUGCUGGUGUGGUUGGCUUCCAGUGAGGAUUUUUUUUCAUGGUGUGUAGAUGGCCCAGCUCCUUCUUGUGUCUUCAUAUAACAACAGGGAGAGAUGCUCUUCUGACAGAAGAGCUGGCCCCAUUAUAAUGAAAUUCGCCUGCUGAUGUUAUUGAAGUAGUUACCUUUCAGAGUCUCAUCUGCACACAUGUAGAUCACGGGUAAGGCUGCAACACAUGAAUGUUGAUGAGACAUGGCUCAGCUUAUUGUCCUUAUUUCAUCACGUGACACUCUCCAGUACUGAUGCACUCUCAACUGUCACAGACAAGUGACUGUCAUUGUAUUGCUUACUGGGUAAUAUGUAGAAAAGGUUUUCAAGGUUCACAUCAAGCCAUCUGACGAUCCUGAUACAACUUCUACACAAAAGGCCUAGAAAUUUAUAAGAACAAAAAAAAUCAUCUAAUGGGAAAAAUUUAUAGUCCAGGCUGUCCUCAACAUUGCUAUAUAGUCCUGGGUAGCCUUGAACUCAUGAUUCUCCCAACUUACCCUCCUGAAUGCCAGGAUUACAAAGAACAUCACUUUGCCCAGAUGACAAAUGACUUAAUAGGAAAAGCUUAUAGGAGUUUUAAAAAAAUCAGAACAAAAAUAAAUUUGAAUAAAUAUAUGUACAUGAGAUGCAGUCAAAGCUAGCGAGACUUGGAAGAAAUAGUUACUUUUAUAUAGUUCAGCGGAUAUGAAUAUUUAUGAAAACAACUGAGCAAUAUUUAUGCAGAAUGAAAAUAUGCUUGUCUACUGACUCAGCACUCCUACUUUGUGAGCUAGGCAUGAUGGUGCACACAGUGACACCUUGUGUGCACCUCUAUCCCUCAGAGGGCUGCUACAGGACGGGCAAGAGGUCAGGGCCAGCCUGGGCUAUAGCGUGAGACCCUGUAUUAACAAACAAAAGCAAAGCAAAACAACAACAACAAAAAAUAAAAAUUCUACCUCUUAGAACAAGAGUAAACGCUUUGAAAAGAUGAACGCUCACAUUGUGAUACACACAAGAUGGUUACAUAGCAAGAAUUUGGGAAGAUAGAAGCAUGGUGAUGUUAACUGUGAAACCAUACUAAAAUCUCUCUCUCUCUCUCUCUCUCUCUCUCUCUCUCUCUCUCUCUCUCUCUCUAGCUGUGCAACCAUCCUAUCUCUCUCUUUUCCUUUCAGUCUCUCUUUGUCUCUGUCUUUGUCUGUCUGUCUUUCUCUCCUCUCUCUGUCUCUGUUGGUCUGUUUCUCCUCUCUUUGUCUCUUUCUCCUUCCCCCCUGUCUUUCUCUCUCCUCUCUCUGCCUUUGUCUCUGUCUCUCUCCUCUCUCUGCCUUUGUCUCUGUCUCUCUCCUCUCUCUGCCUUUGUCUCUGUCUCUCUCCUCUCUGUCUCUCCCUCUAACUCUCUCUGUCUCUGUCUCUCUGUCUCCCACACCACCACCACCACCACCUCUGGAGAGAGAGAAUAUCAUGUAGCUCAGGUUGAUUUUAAACUUGCUACAGGCAGCCUUGAACUCCCAAUGCUCCCACCUCACCAUCCAUGUACUGGAAUGAUAGCGUCCACCACUACGCUUCACUUAAUUUAUACAAAUCUUAAAACUUUCUUUUUUUUUUUUUUUUGAGCUGAGGACCGAACCCAGGGCCUUGCACUUGCUAGGUAAGUGCUCUACCACUGAGCUAAGUCCCCAACCCCAAAACUUUCAUUAUGUAUUGUUGCUAUGGCUUGAAAGUGCCCCCCUAGGAUGGUGCAAAAUUGAUAACCAUUGUGGCAGAAAGGAGAAAUGGGGAGGCCUUUAAAAGUUGCUUAGGAUUUGGCCCCACUGCUCUGAAUGGAUUGGUGGAGUGUUUUUUCAAAGUGAAUCUGCUCCUUGUGUUUUAUUUUUCUGAUACCUGUUUACUUCCCAGCCUCCACAGCCCUGUUACAAUGAACCACAAAGCCCAUUAUGAUGAAGCACAAAGCUGCUACCAGAGGUCAAGCAAGUUGCUGGAGCCAUGCUCUUAAAUCCCACCUCCCAGAACCAUAAGCCUAAACCAACCAUUCUGUAUGAAUCACUUGGACUCCGGAAUUUUGUUAUAGCAGUAAAAAUAAACUACUGACAAGCUAAGAAUGAAUUAAUCCUAAUAUUUUCUUAGGAAAAGAAUAAAUCAUUCUAUUUCAUAAAGAAAGGAGAUGAGAAUGAAUGAAAAGUUACAUAUCCAAAGGUUAACCCAAUUAUUUCAAGAGACAAAUGGAAGAUUCUACAAUGUCAUAGUUAUUACAAAAUAUAUGUGUGUGCCUGAGUGUGUACCAUGUUCAUGAAGGAGCCUGAGGAGGUCUGAGGAAGCACUGGAUGCCCGAGAACUGAAGCUACAGAUGGCUGUGACCCACCAUGUCAGUGCUGGAGCCAAACGAACCCAGCCCUGCCCCCAUGUUGUCUUGUCAUUGACCCGGAGCAGGAAGACCGGUUCACUCAUUCCUGUCUAAACUUCUUAACAGACCUGAAAAUUUUAUCUUUAAUUUCAAUAUGGUUUUACUAGAGAGUCUUGCCUAGAACUUCUCAGAUUUAGCUGAACAGACUAUCAAAAGUGUAAUCUUUUUUGAACUUUAAAAUACACUUCGAGGGCUGGAGAGAUGUCUCAGUGGUUAAGAGCACCCACUGCUCUUCCAGAGGGCCUAGGUUCCAUGCCCAGCAAUCACAUGGUGGCUCACAACCAUCUCUAAUCUGAUCUGAUGCCCUCUACUGUUGUGUCUGAAGACAGGUACAGUGUACUCAUAUGCAUAAAAUAAAGAAAUCUAAAAGAAAAAAGAAGAUGGUAGUAGCCCUUAUAUCGUAUAAAAUACACUUAGAGUAAAAAUACUCCUUCAAAGUUUUGAUUUAGUGUGUGUGUGUGUGUGUGUGUGUGUGUGUGUGUGUGUGUGUGUGUGUGUGUGAUGAAUGUACCAUGGUCUGGCUGGUAUGGGAGAAGGCCAGAGGAGAGCUUGUCAGGGUUCUACCACUUUUAUGUGGCGUCUGGGGAUUGAACUCAGGUUGCAAUCCUUCUGCAGCAACAGCCUGUACCCACUGAGACAUCUUGCCCCUCCCCCAUCAAUUUAUUUAUUUUAAGUAUUUAUGUUAAAGUUUAUUUAAUGUCUGGGGGCUAGGGAGAGACACAUGAGUGCAGGAGGUACCUACAAAAACAAACAAACAAACAAACAAACAACAACAAAAACCAAAUCCAGAAGAAGGCAUUGGAUUCCUUAAAGCUAGAGUUAGAGGCAGUUGUGAGCCACCGAGCAUGCUGGGAACCCAUCUUUGGUCCUCUGAAAAAGGAGCAAGCACUCUUAAUCCCUGAGUCAUCUCCUGGGCCUCCAAAUGUGUCCUGUUUUUAUAAUGAAAUGGACCAUUAAAAGGUUUUCUAAGUUUAAUACACAUGUAUGUGUUUUUGGAAGCCAUUCUUUAUGAAGUCUUCAGGAAAAAGGGAAGGUCUCACAUCCCUUCAUUUCUCAUGAUACACAAGCCAAGCUGCAUUUAUUCAGUUUGCUACAAAUAGUCCACUACUGUGUGGGUGAGGAAGGAGAAAUAG
This is a non-coding RNA of Rattus norvegicus (Norway rat), 5301 nucleotides long. NCBI's taxonomy places the organism in Eukaryota, Metazoa, Chordata, Mammalia, Rodentia, Muridae. The record is from RefSeq and is a predicted model, not a curated record.